GGUGAUAAAAAGGUGCAUUGGAUUUCAUGGGAGAAGAUGUGUGCUGCUAAACGAGAUGGUGGUCUUGGUUUUCGUGAUCCGGAGGCUAUUAAUCAAGCCCUCCUAGCGAAACAAGCAUGGAGAAUAUUGCAGUUCCCACAAUCUCUGUGUGCACGUGUGCUCAAGGCAAGAUAUGUCUCAGAGAACUGUAUUAUAACGGCGACAUGUCCAUCGGGGGGCUCCUUCACCUUUCAGAGUAUUCUCCAUGGCCGAGACUUGUUGCCUGAAGGUCUGAUUUGGCGAGUGGGGAUGGCUCCAAGAUCAAUAUUCAGCACGCCAACUGGAUUCCUAGGAGUGGCAGCAUGCAGCCACUGGGCGUAG
RNAcentral lists this ribosomal RNA (360 nucleotides) under Triticum aestivum (bread wheat). RNAcentral describes it as "partial small subunit ribosomal RNA". Lineage: Eukaryota; Viridiplantae; Streptophyta; Magnoliopsida; Poales; Poaceae. The record is from RNAcentral.